GAGAAUUUUAAUUGUGACAUGGAUAAGCAGUGACUUGGUUCUGAAAUUGCAUAUGUGCUAUGACUGUUUUGGGUUGUAUAAUUAUGCAGUAUCGAAGAUACACUAUUGAGGAAAUAGAAGAAGCGACAAAAUAUUUUUCCAACUCACUGAAGUUGGUGAAGUAUGUUAUGGACCAGUCUAUAGGGCUGAAUUAGUUCUCACUGCAUUUGCAAUAAAAGUGUUGCAACCCUGUGCAGCUCAAGGAUGGUUGCAAUUUCAACCAAGAUUGAAGUUGUGAUAAGCAUAAGGCAUCCAAACAUGGUUCUUCUAUUUGAAACGUGUCCGGGGUUCGGUUGCUUACCGUAUGAGCACAUGAGUAAUGGAAUGUUGACGUGCUAUCUAGAUUUAGACAUUAGCAUAUAGGGCAAUAUAAAUUCUUUUUCAGGGUUUUCAUGUGUUCCAUAUAAAUAUUUGAAACACUAUAUUUCUAGGUGGAUGCAGAAAGUGUGUACUGAACUUUUAUGUUUGUUGCAUUUUAAUAAUGAUUAAAGCUGAGAAAAUAAUUUAGCAGCAAAGUUGAGUCAACAAUUGCAGCAAUGCGAGGGCUUUCGGCUACUACAGCUAGCAAUCAACCACAACUUACUACUUUGUUUUAACUGGCUGCUCAUGAAGCUAAAAAAUCAAGUACUCAGGGUUGCAUUUAACAGUGAUUUUAUUCUACUGCAGAUCGAUAGGGUGCCCACAACAUCAGUGGCCCGUGAACCAGAGGCUUUUCACUAUGGAUAUCAUGUACUAUAGGUAAUGUUGUAGAUAUUGGAAACACAUUGGGCUAGAUGCAUUGGAUUUAUCAAAGCCAUUGAACUGCCACUUUUGCCGCCGCUGAAAAAGUCAGUUGAACGGAAAGUAGUGCUUGGAAACAAUUGGACCUGGUUGUUGCAACUGGUGGUGAUGGAACUCUUCCGCUGGCCCGCCAUUUAAUGGAUGGCAAAAUUCCUGUCCUUUGAUUGAACUCAG
Long non-coding RNA from Vicia villosa (hairy vetch), 993 nucleotides. RefSeq lists it as uncharacterized. NCBI's taxonomy places the organism in Eukaryota, Viridiplantae, Streptophyta, Magnoliopsida, Fabales, Fabaceae. The record is from RefSeq and is a predicted model, not a curated record. The transcript is spliced from 4 exons.